Molecule: small RNA, 28 nt
Filed under: Bombyx mori (domestic silkworm)
Lineage: Eukaryota; Metazoa; Arthropoda; Insecta; Lepidoptera; Bombycidae
Description: ovarian small RNA-23073
Source: RNAcentral
UAGUGGUAAAUGACAUGGUCACUACACA